GGGUUGUGAGGUUAAGCGACUAAGCGUACACGGUGGAUGCCCUGGCAGUCAGAGGCGAUGAAGGACGUGCUAAUCUGCGAUAAGCGUCGGUAAGGUGAUAUGAACCGUUAUAACCGGCGAUUUCCGAAUGGGGAAACCCAGUGUGUUUCGACACACUAUCAUUAACUGAAUCCAUAGGUUAAUGAGGCGAACCGGGGGAACUGAAACAUCUAAGUACCCCGAGGAAAAGAAAUCAACCGAGAUUCCCCCAGUAGCGGCGAGCGAACGGGGAGCAGCCCAGAGCCUGAAUCAGUGUGUGUGUUAGUGGAAGCGUCUGGAAAGGCGCGCGAUACAGGGUGACAGCCCCGUACACAAAAAUGCACAUACUGUGAGCUCGAUGAGUAGGGCGGGACACGUGGUAUCCUGUCUGAAUAUGGGGGGACCAUCCUCCAAGGCUAAAUACUCCUGACUGACCGAUAGUGAACCAGUACCGUGAGGGAAAGGCGAAAAGAACCCCGGCGAGGGGAGUGAAAAAGAACCUGAAACCGUGUACGUACAAGCAGUGGGAGCACGCUUCGGCGUGUGACUGCGUACCUUUUGUAUAAUGGGUCAGCGACUUAUAUUCUGUAGCAAGGUUAACCGAAUAGGGGAGCCGAAGGGAAACCGAGUCUUAACUGGGCGUUAAGUUGCAGGGUAUAGACCCGAAACCCGGUGAUCUAGCCAUGGGCAGGUUGAAGGUUGGGUAACACUAACUGGAGGACCGAACCGACUAAUGUUGAAAAAUUAGCGGAUGACUUGUGGCUGGGGGUGAAAGGCCAAUCAAACCGGGAGAUAGCUGGUUCUCCCCGAAAGCUAUUUAGGUAGCGCCUCGUGAAUUCAUCUCCGGGGGUAGAGCACUGUUUCGGCAAGGGGGUCAUCCCGACUUACCAACCCGAUGCAAACUGCGAAUACCGGAGAAUGUUAUCACGGGAGACACACGGCGGGUGCUAACGUCCGUCGUGAAGAGGGAAACAACCCAGACCGCCAGCUAAGGUCCCAAAGUCAUGGUUAAGUGGGAAACGAUGUGGGAAGGCCCAGACAGCCAGGAUGUUGGCUUAGAAGCAGCCAUCAUUUAAAGAAAGCGUAAUAGCUCACUGGUCGAGUCGGCCUGCGCGGAAGAUGUAACGGGGCUAAACCAUGCACCGAAGCUGCGGCAGCGACACUAUGUGUUGUUGGGUAGGGGAGCGUUCUGUAAGCCUGUGAAGGUGUGCUGUGAGGCAUGCUGGAGGUAUCAGAAGUGCGAAUGCUGACAUAAGUAACGAUAAAGCGGGUGAAAAGCCCGCUCGCCGGAAGACCAAGGGUUCCUGUCCAACGUUAAUCGGGGCAGGGUGAGUCGACCCCUAAGGCGAGGCCGAAAGGCGUAGUCGAUGGGAAACAGGUUAAUAUUCCUGUACUUGGUGUUACUGCGAAGGGGGGACGGAGAAGGCUAUGUUGGCCGGGCGACGGUUGUCCCGGUUUAAGCGUGUAGGCUGGUUUUCCAGGCAAAUCCGGAAAAUCAAGGCUGAGGCGUGAUGACGAGGCACUACGGUGCUGAAGCAACAAAUGCCCUGCUUCCAGGAAAAGCCUCUAAGCAUCAGGUAACAUCAAAUCGUACCCCAAACCGACACAGGUGGUCAGGUAGAGAAUACCAAGGCGCUUGAGAGAACUCGGGUGAAGGAACUAGGCAAAAUGGUGCCGUAACUUCGGGAGAAGGCACGCUGAUAUGUAGGUGAAGUCCCUCGCGGAUGGAGCUGAAAUCAGUCGAAGAUACCAGCUGGCUGCAACUGUUUAUUAAAAACACAGCACUGUGCAAACACGAAAGUGGACGUAUACGGUGUGACGCCUGCCCGGUGCCGGAAGGUUAAUUGAUGGGGUCAGCGCAAGCGAAGCUCUUGAUCGAAGCCCCGGUAAACGGCGGCCGUAACUAUAACGGUCCUAAGGUAGCGAAAUUCCUUGUCGGGUAAGUUCCGACCUGCACGAAUGGCGUAAUGAUGGCCAGGCUGUCUCCACCCGAGACUCAGUGAAAUUGAACUCGCUGUGAAGAUGCAGUGUACCCGCGGCAAGACGGAAAGACCCCGUGAACCUUUACUAUAGCUUGACACUGAACAUUGAGCCUUGAUGUGUAGGAUAGGUGGGAGGCUUUGAAGUGUGGACGCCAGUCUGCAUGGAGCCGACCUUGAAAUACCACCCUUUAAUGUUUGAUGUUCUAACGUGGACCCGUGAUCCGGGUUGCGGACAGUGUCUGGUGGGUAGUUUGACUGGGGCGGUCUCCUCCUAAAGAGUAACGGAGGAGCACGAAGGUUGGCUAAUCCUGGUCGGACAUCAGGAGGUUAGUGCAAUGGCAUAAGCCAGCUUGACUGCGAGCGUGACGGCGCGAGCAGGUGCGAAAGCAGGUCAUAGUGAUCCGGUGGUUCUGAAUGGAAGGGCCAUCGCUCAACGGAUAAAAGGUACUCCGGGGAUAACAGGCUGAUACCGCCCAAGAGUUCAUAUCGACGGCGGUGUUUGGCACCUCGAUGUCGGCUCAUCACAUCCUGGGGCUGAAGUAGGUCCCAAGGGUAUGGCUGUUCGCCAUUUAAAGUGGUACGCGAGCUGGGUUUAGAACGUCGUGAGACAGUUCGGUCCCUAUCUGCCGUGGGCGCUGGAGAACUGAGGGGGGCUGCUCCUAGUACGAGAGGACCGGAGUGGACGCAUCACUGGUGUUCGGGUUGUCAUGCCAAUGGCACUGCCCGGUAGCUAAAUGCGGAAGAGAUAAGUGCUGAAAGCAUCUAAGCACGAAACUUGCCCCGAGAUGAGUUCUCCCUGACUCCUUGAGAGUCCUGAAGGAACGUUGAAGACGACGACGUUGAUAGGCCGGGUGUGUAAGCGCAGCGAUGCGUUGAGCUAACCGGUACUAAUGAACCGUGAGGCUUAACCUUACAACGCCGAAGCUGUU
RNAcentral lists this ribosomal RNA (2929 nucleotides) under Escherichia coli. RNAcentral describes it as "23S ribosomal RNA". It matches the Rfam family "Bacterial large subunit ribosomal RNA". Lineage: Bacteria; Pseudomonadati; Pseudomonadota; Gammaproteobacteria; Enterobacterales; Enterobacteriaceae. The record is from RNAcentral.